UACGUAGGGUGCAAGCGUUGUCCGGAAUUAUUGGGCGUAAAGGGCUCGUAGGCGGUUUGUCGCGUCGGGAGUGAAAUCCACUGGCUUAACUGGUGGCUUGCUUUCGAUACGGGCAGACUGGAGGUAUGCAGGGGAGAACGGAAUUCCUGGUGUAGCGGUGAAAUGCGCAGAUAUCAGGAGGAACACCGGUGGCGAAGGCGGUUCUCUGGGCCGAUACUGACGCUGAGGAGCGAAAGCGUGGGGAGCGAACAGG
This 253-nucleotide ribosomal RNA is filed under the name uncultured bacterium. Its description in RNAcentral is "partial 16S ribosomal RNA". It matches the Rfam family "Bacterial small subunit ribosomal RNA", at positions 524 to 776 of the family's 1533-position model. The record is from RNAcentral.